GCCCUGGUGGUGCAGUGGUUAAGCACUCAGCUGCUAACUGAAGGGUUGGUGGUUCGAACCCACCCAGUGACC
Molecule: transfer RNA, 72 nt
Filed under: Loxodonta africana (African savanna elephant)
Lineage: Eukaryota; Metazoa; Chordata; Mammalia; Proboscidea; Elephantidae
Rfam family: tRNA
About the family: Transfer RNA (tRNA) molecules are approximately 80 nucleotides in length. Their secondary structure includes four short double-helical elements and three loops (D, anti-codon, and T loops). Further hydrogen bonds mediate the characteristic L-shaped molecular structure. tRNAs have two regions of fundamental functional importance: the anti-codon, which is responsible for specific mRNA codon recognition, and the 3' end, to which the tRNAs corresponding amino acid is attached (by aminoacyl-tRNA synthetases). tRNAs cope with the degeneracy of the genetic code in two manners: having more than one tRNA (with a specific anti-codon) for a particular amino acid; and 'wobble' base-pairing, i.e. permitting non-standard base-pairing at the 3rd anti-codon position.
Source: Rfam by way of RNAcentral